Hordeum vulgare subsp. vulgare (domesticated barley) is the source of this 136-nucleotide non-coding RNA. Lineage: Eukaryota; Viridiplantae; Streptophyta; Magnoliopsida; Poales; Poaceae. The record is from Rfam.
AUACUACUCUCUCUGUCACAAAAUUUUUGUCUUAAGUUUAUUUAGAAAUGAAUGUUUUUAGAUAUUAAAACGUGACUAGAUACAUUCAUAUCUAGUCAAAUCUAAGACAAGAAUUUUAAGACGGAAUGAGUACUAG